CCUACGGGGAGCUGCAGUAGGGAAUAUUGCUCAAUGGGGGAAACCCUGAAGCAGCAACGCCGCGUGGAGGAUGAAGGUUUUCGGAUUGUAAACUCCUUUUGUUAGAGAAGAUAAUGACGGUAUCUAACGAAUAAGCACCGGCUAACUCAGUGCCAGCAGCCGCGGUAAUACGGAGGGUGCAAGCGUUACUCGGAAUCACUGGGCGUAAAGAGCGCGUAGGCGGGAUAGCAAGUCAGAUGUGAAAUCCUAGGGCUUAACCAUAGAACUGCAUUUGAAACUGGUGUUCUUGAGUGUGGGAGAGGUAGGUGGAAUGCUUGGUGUAGGGGUGAAAUGCGUAGAGAUCAAGAGGAAUGCUCAUUGCGAAGGCGGCCGGCUGGAGCAUAACUGACGCUGAUGCGCGAAAGCGUGGGGAGCGAACAGGAUUAGAUACCCUGGUAGUG
Molecule: ribosomal RNA, 440 nt
Filed under: uncultured bacterium
Lineage: Bacteria
Description: partial 16S ribosomal RNA
Rfam family: Bacterial small subunit ribosomal RNA
Source: RNAcentral